This 64-nucleotide transfer RNA is filed under the name Graptacme eborea. RNAcentral describes it as "tRNA-Leu". Lineage: Eukaryota; Metazoa; Mollusca; Scaphopoda; Dentaliida; Dentaliidae. The record is from RNAcentral.
CUAAAUAUGGCAGAUCAGUGCUCUAGAUUUAAGCUCUAGUUAGAAGUUUUUUACUUUAUUUAGG